GACCGACUGUCCUCUGGCCUGCUCUGCCUGCAGCUGGAAAAGCAAGUGUACUGAGGCCUCCUCUGGACUCCCUCAUGCUGCCCACUUCUCCCUCCAGCAAGUCCCUGGGCACUGCCAAUGGCCCUGGCCCCUCUCCUCUCUCACCCAUCCACCCACAGAGAGUUGCUAAACCUGUGUCAGGUGCUCUGUAUCUGAGACUUUGGGUGACAACAGUGAGCAAAGGCAGAUGUUGUCCCUGCCCUCAUGGAGCCUACAGGGUUUUGGAGGAGAGAGGUUAAAGAAUCACCAAGCAAAUAUCACCAGUGCUGAGGAGAGAGGGUAGAAUCCCCGGGAGAGGGACCCCAGCUUCCUCCAGGGACACUGGGAGCUGCCAGGUAGCUCUUGCUGGCUACUGCAGCGAGACAUACGACUGGGCUGAAAGCAGUUUUUCUCAAAGUCAUCUUUUGA
This 447-nucleotide long non-coding RNA is filed under the name Heterocephalus glaber (naked mole-rat). RNAcentral describes it as "lncRNA (ENSHGLG00100050071.1)". The record is from RNAcentral. Lineage: Eukaryota; Metazoa; Chordata; Mammalia; Rodentia; Bathyergidae.